GAUGAACGCUGGCGGCGUGCCUAAUACAUGCAAGUCGAGCGAACAGAUGAGGAGCUUGCUCCUCUGACGUUAGCGGCGGACGGGUGAGUAACACGUGGAUAACCUACCUAUAAGACUGGGAUAACUUCGGGAAACCGGAGCUAAUACCGGAUAAUAUCUUGAACCGCAUGGUUCAAUAGUGAAAGACGGUUUUGCUGUCACUUAUAGAUGGAUCCGCGCCGCUUUAGCUAGUUGUGAAGGUAACGGUUUACCAAGGCAAGGAUGCGUAGCCGACCUGAGAGGUUGAUCGGCCCAACGGGAACUAGAACCCGGUCAAAAUUCCUACGGGAGGCACAAGAGGGGAAUCUUCGGCAAUGGGCGAAGGCUUGCCGGGGCAAGGCGGCUUGGGUGAGGAAGGUCUUCGGAUCGUAAAACUCUGUUAUAGGGGAAGAACAAGUGUGUAAGUAACUAUGCACGUCUUGACGGUACCUAACCAGAAAGCCACGGCUAACUACGUG
RNAcentral lists this ribosomal RNA (497 nucleotides) under uncultured bacterium. RNAcentral describes it as "partial 16S ribosomal RNA". It matches the Rfam family "Bacterial small subunit ribosomal RNA", at positions 28 to 507 of the family's 1533-position model. The record is from RNAcentral.